GAUGAACGCUGGCGGCGUGCCUAAUACAUGCAAGUCGAGCGAACAGACGAUGAGCUUGCUCCUCUGACGUUAGCGGCGGACGUGUGAGUAACACGUGUAUAACCUACCUAUAAGACUGGGAUAACUUCGGGAAACCGGAUCUAAUACCGGAUAAUAUAUUGAACCGCAUUGUUCAAUAGUUAAAGACGGUUUUGCUGGCACUUAUAGCUGGAUCCGCGCCGCAUUAGCUAGUUGGUAAGGUAACGGCUUACCAAGGAAACGAUGCGUAGCCGACCUGAGAGGGGGAUCGGCCACACAGGAACUGAGCCACGGUCCAGACUCCUAGGGGAGGCAGCAGUAGGGAAUCUACCGAAAAGGGCGAAAGCCUGAAGGAGCAACGCAGCGUGAGUGAUGCAGGUCUUCGGAUCGUAAAACUCUGUUAUUAGGGAAGAACAAAUGUGUAAGUAACUAUGCACGUCUUGACGGUACCUAAUCAGAAAGCCACGGCUAACUACGU
Molecule: ribosomal RNA, 496 nt
Filed under: uncultured bacterium
Lineage: Bacteria
Description: partial 16S ribosomal RNA
Rfam family: Bacterial small subunit ribosomal RNA
Source: RNAcentral